Molecule: ribosomal RNA, 169 nt
Filed under: uncultured bacterium
Lineage: Bacteria
Description: partial 16S ribosomal RNA
Rfam family: Bacterial small subunit ribosomal RNA
Source: RNAcentral
CCUACGGGAGGCAGCAGUGGGGAAUAUUGCACAAUGGGCGCAAGCCUGAUGCAGCCAUGCCGCGUGUAUGAAGAAGGCCUUCGGGUUGUAAAGUACUUUCACCGGUGAAGAUAAUGACGGUAGUCGGAGAAGAAGCCCCGGCUAACUUCGUGCCAGCAGCCGCGGUAAU